CAUGCAAGUCGAGGGGGUAAUAGUUCUUCGGAAUUANAGACCGGCGNACGGUGCUAACGCGUAUGCAAUCUACCUUUCACAGAGGGAUAGCCCAGAGAAAUUUGGGAAUUAAUACCUCAUAGUAUAGCAGUUUCGCAUGAAACCACUAUUAAAGUCACAACGGUGAAAGAUGAGCAUGCGUCCCAUUAGCUAGUUGGUAAGGUAACGGCUUACCAAGGCAACGAUGGGUAGGGGUCCUGAGAGGGAGAUCCCCCACACUGGUACUGAGACACGGACCAGACUCCUACGGGAGGCAGCAGUGAGGAAUAUUGGACAAUGGGCGCAAGCCUGAUCCAGCCAUGCCGCGUGCAGGAUGACGGUCCUAUGGAUUGUAAACUGCUUUAUACAGGAAGAAACACUACUUCGUGAAGUAGCUUGACGGUACUGUAAGAAUAAGGAUCGGCUAACUCCGUG
This 453-nucleotide ribosomal RNA is filed under the name uncultured bacterium. RNAcentral's name for it is "bacterial SSU rRNA". It matches the Rfam family "Bacterial small subunit ribosomal RNA", at positions 54 to 507 of the family's 1533-position model. The record is from RNAcentral.